UGAAGGGCAUGGAAAACAGUUUGAGUGUGCUGUGCAAAUGGGUGUGUAUGAUAAAUGACCCUCAUUUAGUCAAUACUGAUGGCGGCUGAGUCCUCCUUUCAAUUUAAUCCUUAUGUAAAACUGGCCUGUCCCAGGGAAGACUGGCCACGGUGGCGUGGCACUGUAGGGCAGAGUCCUUUGUGCAGAAGAAAUAAUGAACCACUGUGUGAUGGGAGCCGCUCCAUUAUUUAUGCUGUCCUCAGUUUACCUGUGUGUAGGGUGUAAAGACGAUGCAAGGUACUUGCACUUCUUGAUUGGUUUCCCAAGUUGUUUCUUUGCUCAGCUCUGGAAGUACACUGUUUCCUUAAGGUAUGAAGAAGUGGUUUUGAGAAGUAUCUUUCCCUUCCCUCCCUCGCUCUCUGAGACAUCCAGGAUGGAAGAGGCACCGGCUAUUGUGAGAGGCACAGCCCCAUCAUCCCACUGAGCACAGACAUCUGAAUGACGUUGCAUUUACCAUGUGAAAUGUGACUAUUUCCACUCCUCCCUUAAAGGAUGAACAGGAGCUCCCUGGCAAGGAUGGAAGGCAUUAGCUACAACAGGGAUACUGUGGGGAGGAAUAAAAGCAAGGACAUGCACA
Molecule: long non-coding RNA, 616 nt
Filed under: Sus scrofa (pig)
Lineage: Eukaryota; Metazoa; Chordata; Mammalia; Artiodactyla; Suidae
Description: lncRNA (ENSSSCG00015000703.1)
Source: RNAcentral